Molecule: ribosomal RNA, 553 nt
Filed under: uncultured archaeon
Lineage: Archaea
Description: bacterial SSU rRNA
Rfam family: Archaeal small subunit ribosomal RNA
Source: RNAcentral
CGGGGUGCAGCAGGCGCGAAAACUUUACAAUGCUGGCAACAGCGAUAAGGGGACCUCGAGUGCCAGGAUACAAUCUUGGCUGUCGCGACGCCUAAAAAGCAUUGCAUAGCAAGGGCCGGGCAAGACCGGUGCCAGCCGCCGCGGUAACACCGGCGGCUCGAGUGGUAACCGCUAUUAUUGGGUCUAAAGGGUCUGUAGCCGGCCGGAUAAGUCUUUUGGGAAAUCCAGCUGCUCAACAGUUGGGCUUUCAGAAGAUACUGUUCGGCUCGAGACCGGGAGAGGUGAGAGGUACUUCAGGGGUAGGGGUGAAAUCUUGUAAUCCUUGAAGGACCACCAGUGGCGAAGGCGUCUCACCAGAACGGAUCUGACGGCAAGGGACGAAAGCUAGGGGCACGAACCGGAUUAGAUACCCGGGUAGUCCUAGCCGUAAACGAUACUCGCUAGGUGUCAGCCACGGUGCGACCGUGGUUGGUGCCGUAGGGAAGCCGUGAAGCGAGCCACCUGGGAAGUACGGCCGCAAGGCUGAAACUUAAAGGAAUUGGCGGGGGAGCAC